Molecule: long non-coding RNA, 4369 nt
Organism: Sesamum indicum (sesame)
Lineage: Eukaryota; Viridiplantae; Streptophyta; Magnoliopsida; Lamiales; Pedaliaceae
Source: RefSeq, a predicted model, not a curated record
GUAAAAUAAAAUUAAACCCCCAAAGUCCCCAAAUUGCAAGUCCGCACAAAGCUAUCUUCUCUUCCUUUCUCGCCGCGUGCCCCUAUCAACAACUCACCCGAUGCAACGUCGACGACCACUUGCCCGUUUGCUAUAAAGUUCUCCUAAGAGUUGAACGAAGUGUAUUGCACAACUAUUUGUGGGUGGCCGGUGGAGGAAAAUAGCAAAUCGAACAAAAAGGAUGGUGACUAGAGUACUAGCAUAAAGGAGAGGGUAGGACGAGGGCGGGAGAGAGGCCACGGACGAGGUCAAGGGAUAAAUUUGCACAUCAGGGUUGUUUAACUAACAGUAUAUUAUAUAAUAAUACUAUAGAAAGUAGGCCGUACUGUCAUUGGUCCGGCUCAAUUCCAGCCUUCGGAGCCGCGACCUAUCUCAAACUAAUCUUCCCUCGACUCCAUACAUACUACGUAAUGUUGUUCCUACGGCUAAGAAUGAAGAGUUGUCAGGAGUUGAAUCAUCUCAUGUUGGGGAGCACGAACAGAGAACUUCAUCAAAUUCUUUGCGAGAGUACCUGACCUUCACAUAGAGGUUGAUGAGACGAUACUGUAGGGUUGGCGAAUGACCCUAUUAUUGGAGAGCCAAGUGAUGAUGUCACUCCACAAAAUCAAUGAAGAGGACCUAAUCGAGGAUCACAGGUUUCAGAAAAUCCUGAUCAAAGGUUAAAGAUGAAUGUGGUUAAUAAUAGGCAAAAUGGUAUGCUGGACAAUCAGCGGUUUCCAUGGGAACCCCGACACUUCAAAACGUCUGGAAUCUUGGGAUUGCUUGAGGAGAUUAAGCCGUCAAUCUUGCAAACCAUGGCUUUAUCUUGGGGAUUUUAACGAAGUUCUUCGUGCAGCAGAAUUAGAGAGCAGGAACACGAGACUUAUUAAUCAAAUGAUCGAAUUUCUUCAAGUACUAAAAGAUUACAAACCUAAAGGAUCUUGGUUUUGUGGGUGAGCAGUUCACCUGGAGUACUAAGAGAAAGUUCUCAAACACCGUACAAGCGCAUCUUGAUAGGAUGUGCGCCAAUGAAGAUUGGAUUCAGCCUUUUCCAUUGGUUCGGGACCUUGACAUGAUUAGAUCCAAUUACCGCCCACUAUUAUUGGAUAUUGAUGUUGAUUGCCCAAGGCUGAACCGAAAGCAAAAACCCAUCAGAUUCGAAGCUCUUUAGCUGCGGUCAGAAUAGUGUGAGGAGAUAGUUCGAAGGUAUUGGGAUAACAGGCUAGAGGGAAGAAAUGAUCAGUUGCUAAAGAAGCUGGAUUCUUACCAAAUGGGAUAGAUGCAAUGGGGUCAGGCCACCUUCGGCAAGUUAAAGAAAUUAAAAAGCUAAAGGAUAGAGUGGUUAAGCUCCAAAAAGGAACGCGGGUGACUGAGAUACAGUUGGAAAUUCAAAAAUGUAAGGAUGAGGUUGAGAAACUGUUGAACGCAGAGGAGGUUAUGUGGAAACAAAGGGGGAAAAUGCAAUGGAUCAAAGAAGGAGACAAAAGCAGCCGAUUCUUUCACUUGAGAUCUUCCACUCGGAAACAACACCAACUUCAGAAAAUGAAGAAUAACGAGGGUCAAUGGAAAUUUGAAGCUGAGGAUAUGCAAGACAUUAUCCUCUGAGUAUUUUUCAAAUAUCUUCACCUCGGACAGUCCCUCCCCCGAUAUCCUUGAUGAAGUCAUAUGUAUGAUCUACCCUAAGGUGACAGUUGAGAUUAACGACUUUCUUUACACUCUAUUUACUCUGACAGAGGCCAAGAAAGCUAAUUUCCAAAUAUUACACUCAAAUCCCCAGGGCCAGAUGGUAUGCCUACGAUCUUUUUUCAUAAAUUUUGGCAUACAAUCGGUCGUGAUGUCAUGUAUGUUGUACUUCGAAUUCUUAAUUUCCAUAGUCUUGAUGCUAAAAUGAACCAUACAUUCGUUGUUCUUAUACCGAUGUGUGAUAGCCCCAAGAGCAUUACUCAAUUUAGGCCUAUUAGCUUGUGCAACGUCGCCUAUAAAAUUGCAACCAAAGCACUCACGAAUAGGCUUAAACCCCUUAUGAAUAUAUCAUUUUUUAUUCUUAGUCAGAAUUUAUUCUGAGUCACUUGAUUUUGGAUAAUAUUAUUAUUGCAUUCGAGCUUAACCAUUAUUUGCGAAGGGUGUACAGCAUUGAAACUCGACAUGAGCUAGGCGUAUGAUCAAGUGGGAUGGGCAUUUCUGAGCGUAUCCUUUUCUCAAUUAGGUUUUCAUUCAUCUUUUGUUUCCGUCAUCAUGUUGUUUGUGUCUUCUUCUCGUAUUCUUUCAUGCUUAAUUGUGAUAACUUUGGAUUAUUACGAUCAAAGACGGGCAUCCGUCAAGGAGACCUUCUAUCGCCAUAUUUAUUUCUUUUCUGCACAGAGGUAUUUAGCGAUCUUUUCAGAGGACACAGAUGCGGGGUCAACUUCAGAGUAUGGCUAUUCGAAUUCGACCCCUAAGAUUUCCCAUCUACUCUUCACAGAUGAUACACUUAUCUUCUACGAGGCGAAUUUUGAUGUUGUACGAACUAUCAAGUAUCUCCUUGAGAAAUAUGAACAAGCUUCAGGGCAACAAGUUAAUUUGGAGAAAUCCGGAGUGCUUUUCAGCCUGAGCGUGUGGGAGGAAUUUCAGUGAAGGUUAGCCGAUUCUUUGGGAGUUCAGUGGAUGGCAAAUCAUGAAAAAUAUCUUUGGGAGUUUUGUUCUAGCACCUAUUAAAAAUAUUCUUUGGUGAAUCUAAACAGGAUAUGUUUAGGGGCAUUCAUGUACUAAUGUGGAACUGUAUUUGUGGGUCGAACGCAAAAUAUCUCACAAGCGGGCAAGGAGAUUUUGGUGAAAGUAGUACUGCAGGCCAUUCUUUCAUACGUGAUUUCAUGCUUUAAGCUCCCUAAGGUAUUGAUUUGUCAAUUGGAGAAUAUGUUGGUUGGUUUCUAGUGGCAUCAGAAGGGCAACAGACGAGUACAUGGGAUUUCUUGGCCCAAAACGAGUAGGCCAAAAGUAGACGGAGAGGGAACAUGCCAUCGUUUUCAUGGCGGAGCAUCUUCAAUGCUCGCUACUAAAUUGAAGCAAGAUCAAAUUUGUGUGUGGUAAUGGGAUUUCGAUUAAAAAUUUGGGAGGAUAGGUGGGUUCUCCACGCCUCAUAUUUCAAACCCCUUUUUCAGCCUAGCUGUUUGGACGAACAGACUCGUGUAUCAUCUUUGAUCAAUCAUGCUAAUGGGAGAUGGAAUGAGUCGAGAGUUCGUAACAUGUUUCACCCUACCAAUGCUGAGGACGUGCUAGCCUUACCUUUGGGAAGCAGUAGACAUGGCAGUUUAACUUGAAAGACCAAUUUUUGGUGAAAAGUUCACAUCACCUUGCACUUGCUUUGAAAUGAUGGAAUAUUUCCACAAGCUUGAUUCUGGAGGCGAAGAAAUACUGGGGCUUCGUGUGGAACAGAAACACUCCCCUAGAGGUGAAGACCUUUCGUUAGAAAAUGUGCAAGAACGCUCUUCUGAUGAUGACCAAUUUGUCUAAGCAGAACUCGGAUGUUGAUGAGACAUGUCCUAUUUGUAAGUCUGAAGGUGAGGAUUCUCAACACCUCUUCUUCUCUUACCCGGUUGCUCGACAUGUUUGGACCCUCUCAGGCUUACAAUGGCAUAUUCUUUCAAAUUGGAGUCAUGAUGUAUAGACAUGGUUCCAAAGUGCAGCGGAUAAGCUAGAGGGGCCUGAAGCUGAUUGUGCACUCGUUCUCUGUUGGCAGCUUUGGAAUAAUAGAAAUUAGUGAUUUUGGUACAGUGUUAGGGCCUCCCCUAUUGAGAUUAAUUCACAAGCAAGACGAGUCAUGUUCGACUUUGAAGAGUAUAGUCUAUCUUUACAAGGACCGAACAAGGUUAGAGCAACAAAUUAUGCAUGGCAUCCUCCACCUAUCGGGAUUAUCAAGCUAAACUUUGAUAGGGCUACUUUGGUGGAGACUAAUACGGUAGGGUCGAAGUCUUUGCUAGUGAUUAUGUUCGCUCUUGUAUUAGAUGGAGGAAGCGCCACAUUCAUUUCAAAGCUGCACAUGAACACGUUGAGUUUCUUGCAACAGCCACAACAAUUGAAUUUGGGAAGCAGAAAGGAUGGGACCGGAUUAUUUUGGAGGGCGAUUGCUUCUCAAUCAUCUCCAAGUUAACAAGUGAAGACCAAGAUAGUUCAGCUUUGGUGAAUUUAGUGCAUGACAUCAAGGAUAACACCAAGGUUUUUUCUUUAUACAAGUUUACCCAUGUACAAUGUGAGGCCAAUAAAAAAAUUUGAAGCCAUGGAUGACAUUCUAGACGCAGUCUACUAUGGCGAUUUGGUGCCCAUAUACUAAUUUGAUCUUUCAAAUGAAAACGUCUAUGGGAAAAAAAUAGAAACU